AUUUGUUGCAGUAUCCAUGACUCUAUGGACACAACACUGGUGUCCACUGGGGAAACAAGCUUUUGUAAUUGGUCAUGGCAUCAACGCAGGUUGCUUUCCAGCAGUCUUGAAGAAUUGCAGAGUGGAUCAUUACAAAAGAAUCCUCACAUGGAGCUGAGCAAUUACCAGACUCUGCCGGGGAAACUCAUGAUAAAUAAGAGAGAGCAGAGAGCCAGGAAGCAUGGCGACAGAGAGGGAGAAGAAGAGUAUCUGUCUCCAGUCCACUGCCUCCAGCAGGAGGACUACGGUCUCAGUGAGUUUCUCCAUUCAUCACUGAUACAUCUUUAAAUCAUACAGUUUUGGAAAAUUCAGUAUUUUCUACUUCUGAAAAAAGAAAAUGUUUCAAUGAAAGGUUUUGAGA
This is a long non-coding RNA of Notothenia coriiceps (black rockcod), 400 nucleotides long. RefSeq lists it as uncharacterized. The record is from RefSeq and is a predicted model, not a curated record. The transcript has 3 exons. Lineage: Eukaryota; Metazoa; Chordata; Actinopteri; Perciformes; Nototheniidae.